This 874-nucleotide long non-coding RNA is filed under the name Marmota monax (woodchuck). Lineage: Eukaryota; Metazoa; Chordata; Mammalia; Rodentia; Sciuridae. The record is from RNAcentral.
CAUGAGUAAGAGUUCGUACUAGUCUAGGGUAAGAUGUGGAUUGAAUAAUUCUGGCUUUGCUACUGACCACUUAUAUAAUGUUGACAAGUCAUUUACCUGAUCAGUCUCAGCUCACUUUUUUGAAAAAAAUGAGGCUGGAAUCAGCCUCUCUCAUUAUCACAUCCUCAUGAACUUUCUCACAUGUUGGUUGUUCGUGUGGCUAACGAGAUCAUUCACGGGACGCUCCCCCGCAGCCCCAUGUUUCUCUGGUGUUGUGAUUGUCUUCAGUUUACUCCUGAAGUUGCCCUUCAGUCUCAGCAAAGUAGUCCCCAUCACAGUCACCAGGGGAGCUUCUCUGGAAGAUGCAUGCCCCACAGCCUUGACUUCCCAGGUCUGAGAUGCAACCCCGACCAUUCUGGAAGCUGGUGCUGCACUCUGCUGCUUUGCACAGUGGAGGAGAAGACAAGCUCAGGAGGUUUCCUGUUCUCUAUUUGAGAUUGUACUGGAGGAACUCCAAGAAAACCUUCCUUGACCAAUAGGCUUCUGAUACAAGCUCCUGUAGGAAGAAUGUUCCCCUAUUGAUGAGGGCUCCGCUGGAUUGUCCCUUAGGCUCCUAGAUAGUACCUCAAAAUCUAGGUACCCCACAGUGAAACUGAUACCAUGCUGAUCUGCCUAACACAUCAGAUUGAAAGGAAGGCCUGUUCCUGUGCCAGAAGCUAAACAACGCAGAGGAAGGAAAUCUCUGUGACUGAGAUCCACACAGGAGGGAAGACACGCAUGCCUGCUUCAAAGGGAAUGGAAAGAGAGACUGAGCAUUUUAAAUGUAGCUUUAAAGUCUCUUUUUAAAAAAAAAAAUUUUUUUUUGAUGCCCUCAGUUUUGAGUAUAAGCUCAGCC